AGAAAAUGUGAAAAAUGCAAUGAAAACCAAAGAAAAAAACAAGACAAAAAACCAAUCGGUUUCCUUUAGUUGACCAAGUUCAGCAAAAUCGACGGACCAAAACUGGUCCGAUAGAGCGCCCUUCAAAAGAGUCGCGCGGUGCGGUCGCGUCGCAGUCCUCCUCAUCCUUCAUUCGCCGGGGGUUGUUUCGUCAUAUGUUUGUGGAUAGACGAAGAGAGUGCAGAGAGAGCAGAGAGUGAGAAGAGACGACAUAGACGGGCAGACGGCGGGUACCUCUUGCCUCGUCUCUCUGACGCGACACCGCUUCCCGCUUGUAUUUCUUUGGGUGUCUCUGUCUCGU
Caenorhabditis elegans is the source of this 340-nucleotide non-coding RNA. Lineage: Eukaryota; Metazoa; Nematoda; Chromadorea; Rhabditida; Rhabditidae. The record is from Ensembl.